CCCUUAGAUGUUCUGGGCUGCACGCGCGCUACACUGAAGCUAUCAACACGUUUUCCCUCCCUGAGAAGGGCGGGUAACCUUUUGAAUCAGCUUCGUGGUAGGGAUCGGGGCUUGCAAUUGUUCCCCGUGAACCAGGAAUUCCUAGUAGACGCGAGUCAUAAGCUCGCAUCGAUUAAGUCCCUGCCCUUUGUACACACCGCCCGUCGCUACUACCGAUUGAACGUUUUAGUGAGGCAUUUGGACCGACGCAUCUCAGUUUAACCGCUGGUUUGUGUUGGAAAGACUUCCAAACUUGAGCGCUUAGAGGAAGUAAAAGUCGUAACA
RNAcentral lists this ribosomal RNA (324 nucleotides) under uncultured eukaryote. RNAcentral describes it as "partial 18S ribosomal RNA". It matches the Rfam family "Eukaryotic small subunit ribosomal RNA", at positions 1470 to 1796 of the family's 1831-position model. The record is from RNAcentral.